ACAGCUACUCACACGAGCCACUGACGUGCCCGAGCUGGUCAGAUCUCGCAAUCUAAGCAGAUCCCGGCCUGGUUGGUACUCGUAUGGGAAGACUGCCGUGGAAAAACCAGGUGUUGUCGGUG
RNAcentral lists this ribosomal RNA (122 nucleotides) under Petromyzon marinus (sea lamprey). Lineage: Eukaryota; Metazoa; Chordata; Hyperoartia; Petromyzontiformes; Petromyzontidae. The record is from RNAcentral.